Long non-coding RNA from Myiozetetes cayanensis, 1114 nucleotides. RefSeq lists it as uncharacterized. The record is from RefSeq and is a predicted model, not a curated record. The transcript is spliced from 3 exons. NCBI's taxonomy places the organism in Eukaryota, Metazoa, Chordata, Aves, Passeriformes, Tyrannidae.
CAAGAAGAAAGACCUUUUCAAAAAGAAUGCAGACAGCCAGAAGUGGACAAGUACAAAGAGCUGUACCUGCAGGAAGUGAAAACCAGGAAAAGCCUCGCAAAGAAGCUGGAAAGAGCCAAGGAGAGACUUGAAGAGGCCAACGCGAAGCUCCUUUGGGAGCGCCAGAGAAGCAAAUCUGCAGCCACAAUCAGCGAUGUCAGGAGACAUCUGGCUGCAAUUCCACCUCUGGAUUCAGCUGGCCUGGGACACCUUGGGAACCGUCUGGGACUGGGCAGAACUCCCGGCCUCAGAACACACCCCAGCCACGUGUGGUAAAGCCGACGACUUUUGGUCAGCAGAGCAACUGUGGCAAAGAGCACUGUGAGGCAGGAACUUCCCACCUAAGUUCCACACUAAUUUACAUGUCCGGUCUGUGUGACCUGUUUCAAAUGGCUGAUGUCACCAUGAGUGCCAAUGCCAUCAGACAUCUGUGAGACACCGAGGAGGAGCCAGCCACGUCCCAAAGUCCAGCGCUGCCCCAGUGGUGGCAGGCCUGGCCCAGCCAUCCCAGGGAGCAGCACCCAGGCCAGGCCGGCACCGCCACAACCACAACCACUGCCUGUGCCCUGCCUGCUCUUCCCUGGCAGGAGCCCUUGGUGCCAGUGGGACAGGCAGGAGCUUUCCUGCUGCCCACUCAGCCCCUUGGCCACGGAUCUCCUUCUGCCACAGCCACUUGCGGCCUGGAGCGAUGGCAACGACCCUGCCUGUUCAGGAGGGUGCUCAGGGCUGUGCCAGGCUGUUCCUUGGCACCUGUGUCCCAUGAGGGCAGGAGCAACAGUGCCAGGCUGCCAGCACCAGGCAGCUGCCUGCAGGUGACCGUGUGAGCCUCGGCAGCGUCCGGCUGAGAGCGCGGCACAGGGAGGCACCGCAGCCACGGCUGCAGGGACAGCACCUCGGGCAUUUGGCUGCCCCAAGCACACACUGCCAGCCUGGGCUCACCCAGUGAUUCCUGUCACCAGCCUGGGAUUGCCCAGAACACACCUUAGGGCUUGAGCUGGGUCACAGUUUCAUCACAGUGUGCCAAUAGAUAGUAGGGUACAGAUAGAUUAGACAGAUUAUAAGAUAGGUAGAUAGA